RNAcentral lists this ribosomal RNA (451 nucleotides) under uncultured bacterium. RNAcentral's name for it is "partial 16S ribosomal RNA". It matches the Rfam family "Bacterial small subunit ribosomal RNA", at positions 354 to 796 of the family's 1533-position model. The record is from RNAcentral.
GUGGGGAAUAUUGGACAAUGGGGGGAACCCUGAUCCAGCCAUGCCGCGUGUGUGAAGAAGGCCUUUUGGUUGUAAAGCACUUUAAGCGAGGAGGAGGCUACCGAGAUUAAUACUCUUGGAUAGUGGACGUUACUCGCAGAAUAAGCACCGGCUAACUCUGUGCCAGCAGCCGCGGUAAUACAGAGGGUGCAAGCGUUAAUCGGAUUUACUGGGCGUAAAGCGCACGUAGGUGGCAAAAUAAGUCAAAUGUGAAAUCCCCGAGCUUAACUUGGGAAUUGCAUUCGAUACUGGUUGGCUAGAGUAUGGGAGAGGAUGGUAGAAUUCCAGGUGUAGCGGUGAAAUGCGUAGAGAUCUGGAGGAAUACCGAUGGCGAAGGCAGCCAUCUGGCCUAAUACUGACACUGAGGUGCGAAAGCAUGGGGAGCAAACAGGAUUAGAUACCCCGGUAGUCC